UUGGCGUCGGCUGGUUGAGUAGACAUAAUAAAUUAAUUAUAAGGUCAAAUUUUAAUAUUUAAAGAACUAAUUAUGUCAAUAUAUAAGCUAUAAAUUAAAACAAGGAUUAGAUACCCUUUUAUUAUUAGUAUAGAAUACAAUUGGGGACUACAAGCAAUUGCUUAAAAACCCAAGAAUUUGGCGGUGUCUUAUUCUAUCAGGGGAUUCUGUCUCGUAAUCGACAACCCACGAAGUAAAUUACCUACUCUAGAUAAUUUCAGCUUGUGUACUGCCGUCUAUAUAGGCCCUUAAAGUUACCUAUAACUAUAUAAAAGAAAUAUUACGACAGGUCAAAGUGCAGCUAAUGGGUAGGGGAAGAUGGAUUACAAUAUAUAUCAUAGCUUAAUUUUAUAUUAACAUAUAAAUUAAAAAGAAUUUGAUAGUAAUGGAAUUUAUAAUAAUACCAUGAAUAAGAACUUAAGACAAGCACAUAUCGCCCGUCACUCCUUUAUAUAGGAUAAGUCGACAAAAAGGUAGGAA
RNAcentral lists this ribosomal RNA (519 nucleotides) under Dina lineata. RNAcentral's name for it is "partial small subunit ribosomal RNA". Lineage: Eukaryota; Metazoa; Annelida; Clitellata; Hirudinida; Erpobdellidae. The record is from RNAcentral.